AGGUAGGCUAGGCUACUGUGCAAAUUUGACCAGAAGUCCAUUCCUCCCACCGAUUACUGUUGCGUUAUAAAAACGUUCGUAAACGAUAAAGUUCUGGCCAUAGAUGAUAGAUACGCAACUUUGUCUUUGAGUGUCGGACGCGUCUUUAGCAUCCUGAGAAUGGCCGUGCCAGGAGGAAGAAAGGGUGGUCAUCGUUCUGACAGAGCGAAGGAAUCAUCAUCGAAAUUUGAUCAAAGUCUCACGUCUGAUCCAUUGGUUUCAACUUCAGCUCCCUUGACUUCUCACCCAAGGAAUCUCGAACCUGCCACCGCAACCGGCGGACUGAUCUCCAAUUCGGUAAACUCAAAACACGGUUGGAAUCCCAAGUGGGUUUCGAGGAAUCGGCGUUAUCGUGGAGUCAAACCCCGAUUCGUAGAGAACUCUGAGGUUGGUUCUUCGCAUCAUGAGAUUAGCUCUUUGGAUAGUGAAAUGGGUUCGUUUAGUAUCGAUGAAAGAGUUGAUCCUGGGCAGGUUGAGAAAGUGGAAAAAGAGGAGAGCGAAGGAGGUGUGAGUAGUUCAGGGUCGAAGAAUGAGGCGGAGGUUGAGUCAAGUAAAGAAGAGUCGAGGGAUGUUAUGGAUAUAUUUGAAGAGUUAAGGUUGAGUUGUGAAGAGCCGGAGUUGUCAGAAGAGCAGCUGAGGAGUAAUUGCCAAUCCCAGGAUGAUGAGAUACUUGUCCUGCAGUCCAUUUAUGGGGAAAAUGUUUUCAUUUUUGACAAUGUGAGAGGCCUUAAAUCUUUUCAGGUUCAUGUACACAUUGAAGUGCCAAAUGGAAUCACUGUUUCUACAAAGCUAAAUUCUUCUGUUGAUCUGAAGACCUCCGGCAAAAAUGUAGAUGAGUUCUUAUACACAUUCAAAGUUCAAUAUCUUCCACCAAUUGUGUUGACAUGUCUAUUACCUAAAUCAUACCCAAGCCACCUACCUCCUUAUUUUACAAUGUCUGUUCAGUGGUUAGAUUCUAUAAAGAUUGCCAAUCUUUGCUCUAAGCUUGAUUCCAUAUGGAAUGAACAACCUGGACAGGAGGUAUUAUACCAAUGGGUGGAAUGGUUAAGCUAUUCUUCUCUUUCUUAUAUUGGGUUUGACACAGAGAUUAUGCUUGGUCCUUAUGGCAUAAAACACACUAAAGAUAGGCGUGUAGUUUCACGGAGUGUUUCACCUGAUAUAGAUGUUCCUUUUAUUAGAAGUUACAAUGACCAGAGACUCCACGAGAACUUCCAGCAGAACAUUCAUGACUGUUGCAUUUGUUUUAGUGAAUAUGCGGGCACUAAGUUCAUCAAGCUGCCAUGCCACCAUUUCUUUUGCUUGAAAUGCAUGAAGACUUAUUCUGAUAUACACAUCAGUGAGGGUACUGUGAGCAAGCUACAAUGCCCUGAUGCAAAGUGUGGGUGUAUGGUCCCACCUAAUUUGUUAAAACGAUUGCUCAGUGAUGAAGAGUAUGAACGCUGGGAGUCUCUGACGUUACAGAAAACAUUGGAGUCUAUGUCUGAUAUUGCCAAUUGCCCACGUUGUGAAACACUAUGCAUAGAGGAUGAAGAACAACAUGCUCAAUGCUCAAAGUGUUUUUUCAGUUUCUGCACCCUUUGCAGGGAACGUCGCCAUGUAGGUGCUGAAUGUAUGACCCCAGAAUUGAAGCUUCGAAUCCUGCAGGAGCGUCAGAAUUCAUCUCAAUUAAGGGAAGAGCAAAAGCAUAGAGAACGCGAAAUGAUUAAUGAGCUUCUUAGCAUCAAGGAAAUACUUCGUGAUGCCAAGCAAUGCCCCAGUUGCAAGAUGGCAAUCUCCCGAACUGAAGGUUGCAACAAGAUGGUGUGUGACAACUGUGGGCAGUACUUCUGCUAUCGGUGUAACAAGGCAAUUGAUGGUUACGAUCAUUUCAGGGAUGCAACAUGUGACUUGUUCCCUCAAGAAAUGAUUCAGAACUGGGAGGAGCGCAUAAAUCCACGGCAGGUUGUGGCCCAGAUGCAAGUUCAACUCUAUGUUGGUGGUCAUGGUCAAUUUUGCCCUAAUUGUCGCCAAUUUAAUAUUAAGGUUGGCAACAAUAAUCAUCUGUUUUGCUGGGCUUGCCAAGCCAAGUAUUGUUACUUGUGCAAGAAGAUUGUAAGGCGCGGUUCUCAGCAUUAUGGACCAAAGGGGUGCAAACAACACACAACAAACAUGUGACGAUAAACAGCCGCGGACUACAGUGGAUUGAGACCAAGUAUCAGUGAGGCAGCCGACUAUUUCCAUAUGAUUUUAAGAUUCCUUGAAGUUCAUAGUCCCAUUAAAUUUAUUGCAGUGAGCUUAGAUGUCUACUCAAAUCAUUCUACAAGCUAAAAGCAGUACAGAUCCACCGGUAAUUUCUUCAAGAUUACAUAACAAAUCUUUGUUGGGACACAUGAAAAGAGCAUCCUGAGUCAAGUAUCCAAGCUUCACCAGAAAUUUCAUUUGAGACCACCAACACAUCAGCUGAAUCAUAUCCAUCAAAUGCAACACCAUCUUCACCUUUGUCUUUCCCUUUCUCACGGUUCAGCUUGUUUUUCAAGGAAUAACAUUCACUUUUGUAAUGCCCUUCUUUGUGAAGAAAUUGCAUUUCUUGCCUGACCGUGACUUGGAUCUUGAUCUGUAUCCACCAUGGUAAUUGUGUCCUCGAUACUCACCGUGGUUUUUAUAAUUCUUGAAGUUACGUUUAUCACUCCUGCCUCUUGCUAUGAGUCCUUCUCCAGUAGAUUCAUUUCUGUCAUCUGAUCUCUUUUGAAUUUCUUUGGAAUUGAGUGCAGCUUUGACCUCUACCAGGUUAGUGUGUCUUUUCUAUACAAUAUAGUAUCUACAUAGUGUUCAUAAGAUUUAGGGAGAGAACUAAGAAAAAUUAUACCUUGAUCUUCUUCUUCUAAUGUAAAUUCAAUGUUGUUCAGAUCAAGAAUGAUCCAAUUGAAGUCAUCAAGAUGCUUCCUCAAGUCUUUGGCAUCAUCCAUACAAAGAAUGUAUAAUUUCUUCUUUAGGUACAACUUGCUUGCUAGAGACUUCUUCAAAUAAAUUGCAGCCAAUUUAUUCCAUAACUCGAUAGAUAUUUCUUCAUUAGAUACUUCCCUCAAAACUUCAUCUUCGAGGCUGAGAAGAAUCGCACUAUGAGCUUUAGUCUGAACUUCCUGUUGCUUUUUCUUGUCAUCACCAAGCUCCACAAGUGUCUUACUGUCAAUGGCUUCUGCAAUGCCUUUCAUUUUGAUUCUCCAUAACCCAAAGUCAUUCUGCCCUGUGAAGUUGUCCACCUCAAACUUUGCAAAUGACAUUCUUGCAACUUUCUUGAUCUUCAAACCGAGUUCUUGAAUACCAAAGUCACUAAUCUUGGACUUCUACUAACCUGGCUAUUGAUACCACUUGUGGUGUAAAUCCUACACCCUCCAAGAACAGCAAAACAAGAAAGAGUAAUGCAGAAACAUAGAAUCAAAAUGAUAAAACUUUAAGCCAAAAGCAAUACCAAAAACUUUACUUGGUUCAGCUCAACUAAGAGCCUACAUCCAAGGUAGAACAGCCCCAAUCAAUGAAUGGUUAUGCUUUAUUUCUUCUUGAGCAUCGAGUACAAAAAAUUUACGCAAAGGGAGACUUGCUCCACAUACAAAACACUCUAAAAAACAAUGCUCUCCAAAACAGAACAAAAACUCUAAACUUUCUCUACUGAAUGUUAUGUCCCAAAUGAGAGUGAAGAAUACAAUAUAUAUAGGCAACUUAUCAUGGUUCCAAAACACCAUUUGAAUUACCAGAAAUUCGAACCUCUUGACUAAAAGAGUUGCCACAUCAGCUGUCACUUAAGAGGCUGAACCAAUCACCACAGCUAGCUUAUCCAUGACCUAGACCCAGAAAUCGGUAAUUGUAAAGGAAAGCUAGAGCAUUCAUUGAAACUCAGACUGCAAACAAGUUAUCUUCCAAAAACAGUUAAAAUUGACGUAGAAUUCUCUCCAUAGUAUUCUCUUUCCUGCCCAUAAUCUUUGUUGCUCUGGUCCAAAUUUCCUUACGGGUUUGCAUGAGCUAGUUGCUGGGUUGCCUAAGAUAGCUCACGUGGAGCCAACAUUGGGCUGUUGAGUUGCCCAAAUCUCGUCGUUGUCACCCAUGGUUGGGGCUCUUCUGAAGGCACAACCCAUAACAAUAGCACUUAAUGAUAAACUUUGAGGGGAAAUUAAAAGAAAUUUUUUCAGGAUUUUUAUUUAUUUAUUGAUUAUUUUCUCACCAUCUUCAAUGAUUGAAGCAGUCUCUAACUGAUAUUGAUUAAAAAUGCAGAGCAUUAUACCUUUGCUAUUUGCGGAAUGGUUGUUAGAGAGCAAACUCCUAUGUAAUACAAAUCGACUAAUUCAAUCUCAAACCAAAACGAAUUAAAAGUUAUACUAAAAUGUAUAUUUUUUAUUAUUUUAUUAAUAAAUCUAUAUCACAAAUAUAUAUAUUAAUUUAUAGAAUAUUAAUAUAAAAUUCAAAAAGAAAAAAAAUUGUCGUCAAUAACGGUGGGACAAUGUAGCUAUAUUCCUAAAUGAUGUUAAGUAUGCAAUCUAGGUGGGUGGCUAUUUGUUGUGAAAUUGGCAGCAUUUUGUUGUUAUGCAGUCCGGUUGCUCUAAUUAUCUUGAAAGUAUCGAGUUGACUUGACGCAUUUGACACCUCUAUAAAAUACUACUCAUAUUAAUGAUAUGCAGAAAAGGAGUUCAGCAAAGAAAAAAAUGUCCAUUAUUUAUUGACAAUAUAGGGAAUAAUGAUACCAUAUAAACACGUUAUUGCUAUUAAUUUUUUUGUGUAUCUAUUUCUUCUCUCAUCUAAAUUAAGAAUAGAAUGUUAGAGAAAUAUAUAUAUUUCAAUGGAAACAAAAUGAACUCUAGACAAAAUAAUACAAGGAACAAGGUGAUGAAUUAAACAAAAGUAAGCAAAAGGUACAAGGAAAUAAGAAGAGAGGAUAAUAUGUAGAAGGAAAAGAUACCGCUCAAAACAAAAUAAUACAUUUUAAAAAAAAUACAAGUAAAUAUAGGGACUGGAAAAAAGGAAAUAAAAAAUAACACUCUUACACUCGCACAUCCUUAAGUGUAGAGUAGUGGAGAUCACUAACAUAAAUAAAGUUCAAGACUUUUGUCUAAAAAUUUAUUUUUCAUAUUCUCUAAGCACUAAGGGAACUCAUUGGUGCACAACUUAACCACAUCCUCACAAGAGUAUUAUUUUCCAAAAAAUACAUUGGAUUUGGUAAGAAUAAGUUUACUGGACUCAAAAACAGCUUUAAUAUCGGGCUUGCCAAGCAAAUCUCCAUUUACUAAAUUUCAACUCAUUCCGGGAAUAUAAAGCACAUUCACUAAUGUGACCUUCUUGCCGAAGGUGAAAAAGACUUCAAUGGUACGUUUGUCAAGUAUCUUGGAUUUGCCUUCAUUGCCCAUUUGAAUCUCAUGGUUGCCCUUUGACUCUUCAAUUGUCUUGAACAAUGACUUGUCAUAGGUGACAUGGACGGUGACACAUGUGUUAUGCCACCAUAUUUUCACCUUGUCUUAGACCGCAUUCACCUCAUUAAGGGCAACAACUAUAUUCUCCUCUUUAGUUGCAUUCACCUUAGGUCCUUGUUGGUCUUUUCUAUGCCUACACUCUCUAGCAUAGUGACAAUUUUUCCCACGCACAAAGCAAGGACAUUUCUCGCCCUUAAACUUUUUUGGGUUGGUCUUUGGACCCAAAGAUGUCUUGUUACCCUUCUUGCCUUUCCCUUUAUUUUUAGGAUGUUUUGGUUGUGACACCGCAUUUGCUUUGGAAGUCUCUCCAUUAGACCCCUCCACAAGUUUAUCUCUACAUAUUGGUUCCUUCUCGUUUUUGGAUUUCUUACAAAGAAUAAUCCUCAUUUUUAUGAAGGAUUCUUUUCCUAUAGCUCCUUUAAGAUGAUGGUAAUUAUGUCACUAUUGCACCAGCUUGAAAGGUCUCGAGAAGUUCAAUCUUCAAAACUUUCAAUUUGUUAACAAUUAUUUGAAGCUCAUGAAUUUGAGGAAGAAUAGGUUUAUCACAAAAAAAUUUGAAAUCAAAGUAUUGAGAAAUCAAAACUUUUUGGUACCUUCUUCUUCCGCCUUGAAUUUUGUCCAAAGUGUAUCCCGAAUCUCCAUUGCCGACUUGGUCUCGGUAUAGAGGUCAUAGAGCCUAUCAGACAGGGUGUUGAUGAUAUGACCCCUACAAAGAAGAUUGUCCCCCUCUCUCUUCCUUCUUUUCUUCUAUUGCUUUUUAUCAUUUUCUUUUUAUUUUAUAUAUAUAUAUUUGCUUGUAUCUUUUGUCUUUUGAGUUGUAAUCUUCUCUACAUUUUUCUUCUACUAAUUCUAUUAUUAUUUGUAUAUUUUGUUUAGAGUUGUAUUUUCUAUUAUUAUCAUCAUCUACUUAUUUCUAUAUUUACUUGCAUUUUUUGUUAUUGAGUUGUAAUCUUAUUUAAUUAAUCAUCUCGUCUUUGUAUUAUUUUGCUUACAAUUAUAAGAGUCUUACUAUUUUCCA
Humulus lupulus (European hop) is the source of this 6492-nucleotide RNA transcript. RefSeq lists it as uncharacterized. The transcript is spliced from 8 exons. NCBI's taxonomy places the organism in Eukaryota, Viridiplantae, Streptophyta, Magnoliopsida, Rosales, Cannabaceae. The record is from RefSeq and is a predicted model, not a curated record.